UCGGAUAUGGUGUAACGGCUAACAUUGCCGCCUCUCAUCUAAAAGUGCAUGGGAAUGUGCGCGGCAGCUCGGGGUUCGAUUCCCCGUAUCCGAA
Non-coding RNA from Hymenopellis radicata, 94 nucleotides. NCBI's taxonomy places the organism in Eukaryota, Fungi, Basidiomycota, Agaricomycetes, Agaricales, Physalacriaceae. The record is from the annotation of a GenBank genome assembly.